UACAGAGGUCUCAAGCGUUGUUCGGAUUCAUUGGGCGUAAAGGGUGCGUAGGCGGCGCGGUAAGUCGGGUGUGAAAUCUCGGAGCUUAACUCCGAAACUGCAUUCGAUACUGCCGUGCUUGAGGACUGGAGAGGAGACUGGAAUUUACGGUGUAGCAGUGAAAUGCGUAGAUAUCGUAAGGAAGACCAGUGGCGAAGGCGGGGUCUCUGGACAGUUCCUGACGCUGAGGCACGAAGGCCAGGGGAGCAAACGGG
RNAcentral lists this ribosomal RNA (254 nucleotides) under uncultured bacterium. RNAcentral's name for it is "partial 16S ribosomal RNA". It matches the Rfam family "Bacterial small subunit ribosomal RNA", at positions 524 to 776 of the family's 1533-position model. The record is from RNAcentral.